This is a long non-coding RNA of Tachysurus fulvidraco (yellow catfish), 1435 nucleotides long. RefSeq lists it as uncharacterized. The transcript is spliced from 5 exons. The record is from RefSeq and is a predicted model, not a curated record. Lineage: Eukaryota; Metazoa; Chordata; Actinopteri; Siluriformes; Bagridae.
UUUUGUGUGUGUGUGUGUGUGUCUCUUGCAGGUUUUAAGGCUAAUAUAGUGUAAAUAACCACUGACAAAGUGUGUUAAAGCGUCUGUAUUUGUUAUUGCUACUUAUUUGUGUAUAUAAUCUGUACAAGAGUAAAGUUUACGAGUUGUUUCUUUUGAGUGCUGCACAGAGCAGCCGAAGCUACGCUAAUUCUCGUGACUAUCUGACUGCUUCCAUACAGUCCAACAUUGCGUUUAGUUUAGUUAACGAUGUGACUGGGAGGAAUUCAUGGACCAGUUGGGACUUACCUCGGACGUUGCUAUGGAGUAUCGUUGCUAUGGCGAUAAAGGAUCGCGCUGCUGUUCGGUAGAUGAGGGACUACAGAAAGAUGUACAGCUUCAGAGGGGGGAAUUUCGUGUUCCAGCCGCCUGGGAAUCCGUUCAGGUAUUCUGGUGUGUUGAAGUCCUCUGGAGAAAAUGUGCCAUCUCAGUACAUCACAGCAGACUAAAAUCAGUCAUCUCCCAGGGUACCUGACAAGAAGAGGGAGUCCUCAAUACCAAAGUCCUCAAGAUCUGGCCUCCCAUAAUAGCAGUUACUACGACCUGCAGGCUGUCCCGACGCAUCAGGGCUGCUCGAGCUCCUCUUGCCAUUAUUUCGGAUGGGUCAAGAGGAAAGAAGACCCAGUUCGGUGACGUCUUCCCCUAGAGGUCCGACCAGGAAGCAGGGUUGAAGACGUAAAGACCAGUAUAUCUGCCCUAAGAGGGAUUCUCCAAGACCACUAGAUCCUGAUCCUAGGCGACGCCAUCCUGGAGGAUAAUCGAACCCUGUCAGACUAUAACAUCCAGGAGGGGUCGACUGUCUGCCUGGUGAUCUGCCUCAGGACUGCACGUUAACACCCGUUCAACACCGAACAAAGUAAACACAAUGCCUCUUUUAAGGUUAAACCUUAAACCUUAUGCUUUGUUCAUAGAACUUCAAGUCAUUUUUUAUACAAUUUUGUAAAUCUGUUUUUGUUUUGUAAACUAGAUCCCUCAAACAUAUGAUGAAUACACUGAAUGAAUACACUGAAUGAUAUUCUGAUACUCAAUGGUGCAUCAUAUAAUUUCAUAUAUGAUCUGUCGCUCACAUGCACGUGCCGACACAUACACACACAGACACACAACCACAAACACUUCUUUUUGAAAUUCAUGUUGCUUUUGAAUUUUUUCUUUAUAUAACUUUAUUGAUCACAUUUACUUCUUUACAAAUGACCUGAUGUAUCUCCUCUCAGCGUGUGCUUUGAUAUCUUGACAUGACAUUGUUUGUGCCUUAAAUAAUGUUUUUAUUAAAGUUUUAUACAUGAACAAUAAUAAUAAAAAAAAGCAUUUAAUAAGCAUUGGAAGUGGAAUACAGAUGUUAUGAAUUCACAAAUACCUCUGUAAGUUAAUCUUUGUACAUGAGCUGAAAAAAUAUCAGUAU